GGGGAGUUGCCGGAGCGGUCAAACGGGCCUGACUGUAAAUCAGGUGGCACUUGCCUACGGAGGUUCGAAUCCUCCACUCCCCA
RNAcentral lists this transfer RNA (83 nucleotides) under Pseudomonadota bacterium. Its description in RNAcentral is "tRNA-Tyr". It matches the Rfam family "tRNA". Rfam says of the family: Transfer RNA (tRNA) molecules are approximately 80 nucleotides in length. Their secondary structure includes four short double-helical elements and three loops (D, anti-codon, and T loops). Further hydrogen bonds mediate the characteristic L-shaped molecular structure. tRNAs have two regions of fundamental functional importance: the anti-codon, which is responsible for specific mRNA codon recognition, and the 3' end, to which the tRNAs corresponding amino acid is attached (by aminoacyl-tRNA synthetases). tRNAs cope with the degeneracy of the genetic code in two manners: having more than one tRNA (with a specific anti-codon) for a particular amino acid; and 'wobble' base-pairing, i.e. permitting non-standard base-pairing at the 3rd anti-codon position. RNAcentral also lists the same sequence under 1 other name. The record is from RNAcentral. Lineage: Bacteria; Pseudomonadati; Pseudomonadota.